UACGAAGGGGGCUAGCGUUGUUCGGAUUUACUGGGCGUAAAGCGCACGCAGGCGGUUCGUUAAGUCGGGGGUGAAAUCCUGGAGCUCAACUCCAGAACUGCCUUCGAUACUGGCGAUCUUGAGUCCGGAAGAGGUGAGUGGAACUCCUAGUGUAGAGGUGGAAUUCGUAGAUAUUAGGAAGAACACCAGUGGCGAAGGCGGCUCACUGGUCCGGUACUGACGCUGAGGUGCGAAAGCGUGGGGAGCAAACAGG
RNAcentral lists this ribosomal RNA (253 nucleotides) under uncultured bacterium. RNAcentral's name for it is "partial 16S ribosomal RNA". It matches the Rfam family "Bacterial small subunit ribosomal RNA", at positions 524 to 776 of the family's 1533-position model. The record is from RNAcentral.